AUGUGGCGGGCUGUCAGGUCCGGCUUCGGGGACGACGUCCUGCUCCGCGACGCCGGCGGCCGCUACCUCCGCGCCAACGGCAAGUACCGCCCCUGGAACACCGGCGUCACCGUCGAGGCCAGCGACAACGUCAGCGCCAUGAUGUACUGGACCGUCGAGCCCAUCCCCGCCAGAGACGGCACGCCUGGCCUUCCAGGCCCGAUUCAGAGCCCCCCUCCGACGAUUUUCUGGCGCGAGCCGGUGAUGUGGCGGCAGAUCCGGUACAUGGUGUCGGAGCCCGACGGCCCCAUCUACACCGAGUACUGCUGGUCCACGUUCCAGUUCAGGGGGAGGUCCGUGUUCCACCUGAGGAACGAGGUGGCCAGGCACACCCGCUUCGUCCUGGAAGGCCGUCAACCCUUCGACCUCGUAAUGUGCGUCCAAGCGGGCCGCCACGGGCGUCUGACCCCGCUCUUCGUCGACCUGCCCCGCGGCGACCUCUUACCGACCUUCUGGAUCGUCGUGUUCCUGUCCGGGACCCCAGUUUGCUGA
RNAcentral lists this ribosomal RNA (531 nucleotides) under Triticum aestivum (bread wheat). RNAcentral's name for it is "partial small subunit ribosomal RNA". The record is from RNAcentral. Lineage: Eukaryota; Viridiplantae; Streptophyta; Magnoliopsida; Poales; Poaceae.